CGAAGGCUUCGGCCUUAGUGGCGCACGGGUGCGUAACGCGUGGGAAUCUGCCCUCAGGUUCGGAAUAACAGCGAGAAAUUGCUGCUAAUACCGGAUGAUAUCGCGAGAUCAAAGAUUUAUCGCCUGAGGAUGAGCCCGCGUAGGAUUAGCUAGUUGGUGUGGUAAAGGCGCACCAAGGCGACGAUCCUUAGCUGGUCUGAGAGGAUGAUCAGCCACACUGGGACUGAGACACGGCCCAGACUCCUACGGGAGGCAGCAGUGGGGAAUAUUGGACAAUGGGCGAAAGCCUGAUCCAGCAAUGCCGCGUGAGUGAUGAAGGCCUUAGGGUUGUAAAGCUCUUUUACCCGGGAUGAUAAUGACAGUACCGGGAGAAUAAGCUCCGGCUAACUCCGUGCCAGCAGCCGCGGUAAUACGGAGGGAGCUAGCGUUAUUCGGAAUUACUGGGCGUAAAGCGCACGUAGGCGGCUUUGUAAGUUAGAGGUGAAAGCCUGGAGCUCAACUCCAGAAUUGCCUUUAAGACUGCAUCGCU
Molecule: ribosomal RNA, 529 nt
Filed under: uncultured Sphingomonas sp.
Lineage: Bacteria; Pseudomonadati; Pseudomonadota; Alphaproteobacteria; Sphingomonadales; Sphingomonadaceae
Description: bacterial SSU rRNA
Rfam family: Bacterial small subunit ribosomal RNA
Source: RNAcentral